AGUGGCGGACGGGCGAGUAACGCGUGAGCAACCUGCCCUUCAGAGGGGGACAACAGUUGGAAACGACUGCUAAUACCGCAUAACGUAUCGGGAUGGCAUCAUCCUGAUAACCAAAGGAGCAAUCCGCUGAAGGAGUGGGCUCGCGUCCGAUUAGGUAGUUGGUGAGGUAACGGCCCACCAAGCCGACGAUCGGUAGCCGAACUGAGAGGUUGAUCGGCCGCAGUUGGACUGAGACACGGCCCAGACUCCGUACGGGAGGCAGCAGGUGGGGGAUAUUGCACAAUGGGGGAAACCCUGAAUGCAGCAACGCCGCGUGAGGGAAGACGGUCUUCGGAUUGUAAACCUAAGUUGUCAGGGACGAUAAUGACGGUACCUGAAGAGAAAGCUCCGGCUAACUACGUGCCAGCCGCCGC
RNAcentral lists this ribosomal RNA (413 nucleotides) under uncultured bacterium. RNAcentral describes it as "bacterial SSU rRNA". It matches the Rfam family "Bacterial small subunit ribosomal RNA", at positions 94 to 518 of the family's 1533-position model. The record is from RNAcentral.